Molecule: small RNA, 124 nt
Filed under: Marmota monax (woodchuck)
Lineage: Eukaryota; Metazoa; Chordata; Mammalia; Rodentia; Sciuridae
Source: RNAcentral
GCUGGGUGCAGUGGUGCAUGCCUGUAAUUCCAGCUACUUGGGAGGUUGAGGCAGGAGGAUCUUGAGUUCAAAGACAGUCUCAGCAAAAGUGAGGUGCUAAGUAACUCUUGAGACCCUGUCUCUA